This 253-nucleotide ribosomal RNA is filed under the name uncultured bacterium. RNAcentral's name for it is "partial 16S ribosomal RNA". It matches the Rfam family "Bacterial small subunit ribosomal RNA", at positions 524 to 776 of the family's 1533-position model. The record is from RNAcentral.
UACGUAGGGGGCAAGCGUUGUCCGGAUUUAUUGGGCGUAAAGAGCGUGUAGGCGGCCUGCAAGGUCUGCUGUGAAAACUCGAGGCUCAACCUCGAGAUGUCGGCGGAAACCGUCUGGCUAGAGUCCGGAAGAGGAGAGUGGAAUUCCUGGUGUAGCGGUGAAAUGCGCAGAUAUCAGGAAGAACACCCGUGGCGAAGGCGGCUCUCUGGAACGCAACUGACGCUGAGACGCGAAAGCGUGGGGAGCAAACAGG